GUAGUUGAUCCUGGCUCAGAACGAACGCUGGCGGCAUGCCUAACACAUGCAAGUCGAACGAGAUCUUCGGAUCUAGUGGCGCACGGGUGCGUAACGCGUGGGAAUCUGCCCUUGGGUGCGGAAUAACUUCUCGAAAGGGAUGCUAAUACCGCAUAAUGUCGUAAGACCAAAGAUUUAUCGCCCAAGGAUGAGCCCGCGUAAGAUUAGCUAGUUGGUGGGGUAAAAGCUACCAAGGCGACGAUCUUUAGCUGGUCUGAGAGGAUGAUCAGCCACACUGGGACUGAGACACGGCCCCAGACUCCUACGGGAGGCAGCAGUGGGGGAAUAUUGGACAAUGGGCGAAAGCCUGAUCCAGCAAUGCCGCGUGAGUGAUGAAGGCCCUAGGGUUGUAAAGCUCUUUUACCCGGG
Molecule: ribosomal RNA, 408 nt
Filed under: uncultured microorganism
Description: bacterial SSU rRNA
Rfam family: Bacterial small subunit ribosomal RNA
Source: RNAcentral